RNAcentral lists this ribosomal RNA (301 nucleotides) under uncultured bacterium. RNAcentral describes it as "partial 16S ribosomal RNA". It matches the Rfam family "Bacterial small subunit ribosomal RNA", at positions 509 to 808 of the family's 1533-position model. The record is from RNAcentral.
CAGCGCCACGGGAAUACGAGGGGGGCUAGCGUUGUUCGGAAUUACUGGGCGUAAAGGGCGCGUAGGCGGCCAUUCAAGUUAGAUGUGAAAGCCCUGGGCUCAACCUAGGAAUUGCAUUUGAUACUGUUUGGCUUGAGUUCGGGAGAGGUGAGUGGAAUUCCCAGUGUAGAGGUGAAAUUCGUAGAUAUUGGGAAGAACACCAGUGGCGAAGGCGGCUCACUGGACCGACACUGACGCUGAGGCGCGAAAGCGUGGGGAGCAAACAGGAUUAGAUACCCCGGUAGUCCCUGUCUCUUAUACC